Long non-coding RNA from Fukomys damarensis (Damara mole-rat), 264 nucleotides. RefSeq lists it as uncharacterized. The transcript has 4 exons. The record is from RefSeq and is a predicted model, not a curated record. Lineage: Eukaryota; Metazoa; Chordata; Mammalia; Rodentia; Bathyergidae.
AGGCAACAAUGGUAAAUGAAAGACUCAAAGUAACUGGCAUUUGCCUUAUCCAUGAUCAGGACGGUUGCUUUGGUGAUGUCUGUUUUGCUCCGUGACUGAGGGAAAGAAAACACGACUGGCUCAGAGAUGAUUUCUCCUUCAGAGCAGUCUGAUGCGUCAAUUAUUUCAGGCCUAGAGACACCAUGGAAGAAGGUGUAAAUGCACAGCAGCCAUCUUCUGGAAAACAUAAAGCAAAUAGGUAAGUAUCACAUCUGGCUGUGAAUU